Long non-coding RNA from Passer domesticus (house sparrow), 3012 nucleotides. RefSeq lists it as uncharacterized. The record is from RefSeq and is a predicted model, not a curated record. The transcript is spliced from 2 exons. Lineage: Eukaryota; Metazoa; Chordata; Aves; Passeriformes; Passeridae.
AACCGGGGGCAGCGGGGCGGGCGCUGGGCACGGCAUAUCGGGAACCGGGGCACGGCACCGGGCACUGGGGCAUGGCACACGGGCAUAGGGAGCAAUGGGGCGGGCGCUGGGCACGGCAUACCGGGAACCGGGGCACGGUACCGGGAACCGAGGGCAGCGGGGCGGGCGCUGGGCACGGCACAGCGGGAAUCGGGACACAGCACAACAAGCACCGGGCACAAGGGCAGGCACUGGGCAUGGCACGCUGGGAGCCGGGGCACGGCGCACCGAGCAGCGGGCAGCGGGUGCUGGGCGCCAGCAGCAGGAACCGCGUGGCAGCUCCUGAGCUGGGCACCGGGGACCGGGCAGUGGAGGGUGGAAGUGGGGUUGGGUACCGGGCACCCUGAUGGGUGCGGGCACUGGGCAUCGGGGGCCGUUCCCGGGAGAGUGGCACCGGUGCUGGGUGCAGGGAAGCCCCCGGGUGGCACCAGCCAGGUGCUGGUGACACCGGUGCUGGGUGCAGGGCAUCCCACCGGGCACUGGGCAGGAUGAGGUCCCUACAGACACGCACCAGAGCCUGGGUCUGGGUUUGGAGCUGGAGCUGUCUCUGGGCUUGAAUCCACAAUUGGAUCAAGACUGCACCACGUGUGGGUCUGCACUUGGGUCUGUGUCUGGAUUUAGAUCAGGAUUUGGAACUGGAUUCUGAUCCACAUCUGGAUUUGCAUUUGGAGCUGAAUUUGGAUCCACAUCUGGACUUGCCUUCAGAGCUGGAUUCAGCUCCUCAUCUGGAUCCGAGUCUGGGACACGCAUCUUUCAAAAAGGAUGGAUGUAGCCUUUCCACCCCCUGCUCUCCGAGCAUUCCACGGGUGCACAGAGCACCAUCACCCCACGGGGUGUUUGUUCAUCACUGCCCACUUACCGUGCUCUGGGCACCUUCAGGGGCAAGCUGGGGUCUGCAGCAGUGUGACAGGAGCCCUGAGCAGGGAGCAGAGGGGAGGGACGAAAUGGCAGCGGUCCCGCUGGCCUUGGCUGUGCUCAGCGGUAUCCGGUGUAAGCCCUCGCUGCAGGGUGGUGGCAGCUGGUUAUUCAUGAGCGUUUUGGAUGUGCCACCAGCACCUGCAGUGCUCCGAGAGGGGUGACACCCGGGACCCCUCCGUUCUCGUGUCCCCAGUGCUGACACCCAGCUUUGGCCGAGGCGACGUGUGCAGAUAUUUUAAGAGGAAGACUCUGUGCUCUCACAGCUUGACUGCUAAUUUAUAAUCCUGUUUUCCUAUUAAAAUAAAAGCCUCUCUCUUAUUCCCGAACGUGAGAGCCAAAGCGGAGCUCUGAGGAAGUGCCCUGUUUGCAGAACACACUGAAACACACAAAGGAAACGAGGCAAAACCAGCGUUUUGCACGUUUUUCGAGCCUCAUUUUAGCAGGCACUUGGAACAGCAGAAGGGAAAUCUUUUCCAGCAGGAUGUGCACAGCGGGGGAGUGCGCGGAGCUGCUGGUGUCCCUUUGGAGCGGGGCCACCUGCCCGCCGGGGGACAGCGACCGCUGCGGUGCCUGUUUGUCCCCGAGGGGUGGCAGGUCCCUCGGGGAUGCCAGGGGCGAGAGAUGGAGCAGCACGUCCCCCGUGGGGCCGGCCGGGCGGGGAUGGCAGCCGGGGGCAGGAAAUACCUGCUGCUCCGCCGCUUCCCGGCCAAGGCGAACAAGAGGGAGAGUGUUCGGAGGCCGCGUGUGGCAGGAGGGGCCUCCCGGGGACACACGGGCCAUUGUUCCUCGAGGAUGUGGGGCGGAAAUUUGGAUGGACCCGUUGCGUGCCACGCUCCCAGCACUGCCGGGACUGGUCGCAGACUUGAGUGGGUUCAGGGUGGGAAUUGGUGAAACGCUGUGGUUGGUGGAGGGGGUCACUGAUAUUCCACCAGCCCCAGUGGAACAAACCCCUUGAGAGGGCUCUGCUGCUCCUUGCAGCCAGAGCAUGGCACAUGCCCGGGGAUUUUCAGCCUUUCCAGAGCUCCUGCUGGUGUUUGUAGUGGCCCUGCAGUAGCUCUGCUGUCUGCCUGCUCCACCCGCACCCCACCAGCCUUGCAGCAACCUGGAAAGACAUUUAAUACAGGCUGGGUUUGAUCUGCACUUUGACAUUCCUUCAAGUGUUCCCUGGUGUUUUCCUGUCGCUUGCACAGCGCCUUUCCCCACCAACGCUCCCUCACUGCUGUAAAAAGGAAGAAAAAGGCUUGCAGAGUGUGCCCAGCCUUGCAAAUCCCUAAUUACCCACUGCACAUCCUGGCUUCCCUUGGAGCAGCGUUGCUGUCAGCAGGGAUGGGGUGCAGGCUCUCCCCAGCGUGGCUGAGGAUGCUGAUCCUUGCAGAGACAGCAGAGAGGUUUUUCUGGCUGCUCCCACCUGGCUCUGCUCUCCUUCCCCCAGCACCCAUCCCUGCACCAGAACUGAAGAGGUUUUUAGGAGAGAGGCUGGGAAAAGGGGGAGAUAAGAGAUUGUGCUGCUCUCCUUCCAUGCUUCACCCUUUCUCAGGAACUGGCCAGAUUGUUUCCAUUAGGAAAAGCUGAGGAUCCAAGUAUUUGUCAAUGACCAGGAGAAGAUUUGCUGAUGGAAGCUGCCGUUCCCUCCAAUAACGUUGAGCGAGGUGCUUGGCGUGGACCCAUCCUUUUAUGGUAAAAUUAGGGCUAAACGCUGUGGGGAUUUGCAUUUGAAGUUGAUUGAUACGUGGCAUUAGUGCACGCGUAGAUAAUUUUGUAUUUUGAGAUCGCUGAGCAAGGAAUAAUUUUUAUUUUGGGUCAAAGAUAAGGGCAUUGCGUUGAGAUGAAAUAUGAAGGGGUGCUGAUCUGUGUCACGGACACUGCGUUUCUCUUGGCUGGGUAAGGGGAUGGCAGCCCUGCAUUACCCAUUCCUGCCCUUGCUUUUAAGUGCUUUGGGUCUGUGCCCGAUGCAAGGAGUGAUCCCCUGCUGUCACUUAAUGCCAGGACACGGUUCCAACUUUAUGAGCUUUGGAGUUUCCCCUUAUUAAAAAAAAAAAAAAGGCAAACAAAAAA